RNAcentral lists this ribosomal RNA (107 nucleotides) under Notechis scutatus (mainland tiger snake). Lineage: Eukaryota; Metazoa; Chordata; Lepidosauria; Squamata; Elapidae. The record is from RNAcentral.
GCAAUUGGCAAUACCAAGUUGAUUUUGGCUAAUCUCAGAACCUAACCAAGUUUGGCCCUGGUUGAUACAGGCAUAGGGGUCUAGUUAUGAAUUCAUGGGCUCUUCCU